Hibiscus syriacus is the source of this 163-nucleotide long non-coding RNA. RefSeq lists it as uncharacterized. The record is from RefSeq and is a predicted model, not a curated record. Lineage: Eukaryota; Viridiplantae; Streptophyta; Magnoliopsida; Malvales; Malvaceae. The transcript is spliced from 3 exons.
CAAGGGCUUUCCAAAUGGAGUUGACCAUGAGAAGAAAGGAAAAAGCGACAGUUUGCUGAAGAAAGCUUCUUUACCUGGUUUUCUUAUGCUCAGCAGAAAGAUGACAUGGAUGAAAUUCACGAUGAGGUAGCAGAGAUUAUCAAGGAGGAUUUAUGGCCCAAUC